GUAAGCAUAGUUUAAUUAAAACCCUAGAUUGUGAAUCUAGUAAUAGAAACUUAAUCCUUCUUGCUUACC
This 69-nucleotide transfer RNA is filed under the name Graphiurus kelleni (savanna dormouse). RNAcentral's name for it is "tRNA-His". It matches the Rfam family "tRNA". From Rfam's summary of the family: Transfer RNA (tRNA) molecules are approximately 80 nucleotides in length. Their secondary structure includes four short double-helical elements and three loops (D, anti-codon, and T loops). Further hydrogen bonds mediate the characteristic L-shaped molecular structure. tRNAs have two regions of fundamental functional importance: the anti-codon, which is responsible for specific mRNA codon recognition, and the 3' end, to which the tRNAs corresponding amino acid is attached (by aminoacyl-tRNA synthetases). tRNAs cope with the degeneracy of the genetic code in two manners: having more than one tRNA (with a specific anti-codon) for a particular amino acid; and 'wobble' base-pairing, i.e. permitting non-standard base-pairing at the 3rd anti-codon position. The record is from RNAcentral. Lineage: Eukaryota; Metazoa; Chordata; Mammalia; Rodentia; Gliridae.